UACAGAGGUCUCAAGCGUUGUUCGGAUUCAUUGGGCGUAAAGGGUGUGUAGGUGGCGCGCUAAGUCGGGUGUGAAAUUUCGGAGCUUAACUCCGAAACUGCAUUCGAUACUGGCGUGCUUGAGGACUGGAGAGGAGACUGGAAUUCAUGGUGUAGCAGUGAAAUGCGUAGAGAUCAUGAGGAAGACCAGUGGCGAAGGCGGGUCUCUGGACAGUUCCUGACACUGAGGAGCGAAAGCGUGGGUAGCGAACAGG
This 253-nucleotide ribosomal RNA is filed under the name uncultured bacterium. RNAcentral's name for it is "partial 16S ribosomal RNA". It matches the Rfam family "Bacterial small subunit ribosomal RNA", at positions 524 to 776 of the family's 1533-position model. The record is from RNAcentral.